RNAcentral lists this ribosomal RNA (469 nucleotides) under uncultured bacterium. RNAcentral's name for it is "bacterial SSU rRNA". It matches the Rfam family "Bacterial small subunit ribosomal RNA", at positions 355 to 825 of the family's 1533-position model. The record is from RNAcentral.
UCGAGAAUCUUCCGCAAUGGGCGAAAGCCUGACGGAGCGACACCGCGUGCAGGACGAAGGCCCUCGGGUUGUAAACUGCUGUCACGCUCUAGGAAUGCCAUGUCGUUAAUAGCGGCAUGGUUGACCAAGGCGAAAGGAAGUGGCGGCUAACUCUGUGCCAGCAGCCGCGGUAAGACAGAGGCCACGAACGUUGUUCGGAAUUACUGGGCAUAAAGCGCACGUAGGCGGCUAGGUCCGUCCGAUGUGAAAUACCCCGGCUCAACCGGGGAACUGCAUCGGAUACAGCCUGGCUUGAGGAUGGUUGGGGUGAGUGGAACUUCUGGUGGAGCGGUGAAAUGCGUAGAUAUCAGAAGGAACACCGGUGGCGAAAGCGGCUCACUGGACCAUUACUGACGCUGAGGUGCGAAAGCUAGGGGAGCAAACGGGAUUAGAUACCCUGGUAGUCCCUGAGCGGGCUGGCAAGGCGCAU